This is a non-coding RNA of Macaca mulatta (Rhesus monkey), 709 nucleotides long. The record is from RefSeq and is a predicted model, not a curated record. NCBI's taxonomy places the organism in Eukaryota, Metazoa, Chordata, Mammalia, Primates, Cercopithecidae.
AUUGGAUCUGAUAGAACUCCCUUCUAUAUUUGGCAGCUUUUCUCAGAUUGGCCACUGUGUUUUCCAAUGAGUAGAGAUGGGUAAUUUAAGGCUGGAGAAGAAAUUAUCAUCUCUAUGGAAGGGAAGCAUGGUUAGUCAACCUGACAUCGCUGUCAUCCUAGAAGCUGGGCAUGCUGAUUUAUUCGUUCAUAGCCUUCCGCUUUCCCUAUCACUGGAACUAAGUUCUUCCAUCGAUCCAGCUCAGCCAGCAGCAUCUAGACACGGACUGUGAUACCUGUGAGCACGUGGGUACACUAAUGAGGGGUUUUCUGCUGCAGAAUGGUGAAUUCCUGUUGUCCAGGGCUUGGGAGUGUGGUGUCAGGGGCAGUGGAACAUUUUUUUUUUUUUGCAAGGCUGAAGAGCUAAAAAUGAAAACGCACCCGAGAGCCAUCAACUACUUACAAGACUCGGAGGUUCUUGAGCCCAGCGAAGUCCAUCUUGGUGAUCCUGGUGAUAUUAUUUCUGUCCAGGUCACUGCAAUGGAGAGCAAAUUCAGGUCAGAUUUUUGUGGGUUACAAUCACAGUCUAUUUAAUCCAGACUGGCUUGGACUGAAGGGACGUUGCUUGUCCAGAAGGCGGCAAUUCUGAUGAUUAACGAUAUCCCUUGAGCAUGCCCGGCUAACCUUAAGGAUAUUGUAUGGAAUAAACCAUUCAUUAUGCACAUAGCAGA